GGACCCGCACAAGUAGUGGAGCAUGUGGUUUAAUUCGAUGCAACGCGAAGAACCUUACCAGGGUUUGACAUCCUGCGAAUCUCUUGGAAACGAGAGAGUGCCUUCGGGAACGCAGUGACAGGUGGUGCAUGGCUGUCGUCAGCUCGUGUCGUGAGAUGUUGGUUAAGUCCCGCAACGAGCGCAACCCACGUCUUUAGUUGCCAGCAUUUAGUUGGGCACUCUAGAGAGACUGCCGGUGAUAAACCGGGAAGGAGUGUGAUGACGUCAAGUCAUCAUGCCCCUUACAUCCUGGGCUACACACGUACUACAAUGCUACGGACAAAAGGGCUGCAAGUUCGCGAGGACAAGCA
This 350-nucleotide ribosomal RNA is filed under the name uncultured bacterium. RNAcentral describes it as "bacterial SSU rRNA". It matches the Rfam family "Bacterial small subunit ribosomal RNA", at positions 917 to 1269 of the family's 1533-position model. The record is from RNAcentral.